UAGAGGAAGUAAAAGUCGUAACAAGGUUUCCGUAGGUGAACCUGCGGAAGGAUCAUUACCGAGUGAGGGCCCUUUGGGUCCAACCUCCCACCCGUGUUUAUUUACCUUGUUGCUUCGGCGGGCCCGCCUUAACUGGCCGCCGGGGGGCUUACGCCCCCGGGCCCGCGCCCGCCGAAGACACCCUCGAACUCUGUCUGAAGAUUGUAGUCUGAGUGAAAAUAUAAAUUAUUUAAAACUUUCAACAACGGAUCUCUUGGUUCCGGCAUCGAUGAAGAACGCAGCGAAAUGCGAUACGUAAUGUGAAUUGCAAAUUCAGUGAAUCAUCGAGUCUUUGAACGCACAUUGCGCCCCCUGGUAUUCCGGGGGGCAUGCCUGUCCGAGCGUCAUUGCUGCCCUCAAGCCCGGCUUGUGUGUUGGGCCCCGUCCUCCGAUUCCGGGGGACGGGCCCGAAAGGCAGCGGCGGCACCGCGUCCGGUCCUCGAGCGUAUGGGGCUUUGUCACCCGCUCUGUAGGCCCGGCCGGCGCUUGCCGAUCAACCCAAAUUUUUAUCCAGGUUGACCUCGGAUCAGGUAGGGAUACCCGCUGAACUUAAGCAUAUCAA
This 601-nucleotide ribosomal RNA is filed under the name Penicillium sp. 24MN15. RNAcentral's name for it is "eukaryotic LSU rRNA". The stretch from base 234 to 386 matches the Rfam family "5.8S ribosomal RNA". Lineage: Eukaryota; Fungi; Ascomycota; Eurotiomycetes; Eurotiales; Aspergillaceae. The record is from RNAcentral.